Molecule: ribosomal RNA, 496 nt
Filed under: uncultured bacterium
Lineage: Bacteria
Description: partial 16S ribosomal RNA
Rfam family: Bacterial small subunit ribosomal RNA
Source: RNAcentral
GAUGAACGCUGGCGGCGUGCCUAAUACAUGCAAGUCGAGCGAACAGACGAGGAGCUUGCUCCUCUGACGUUAGCGGCGGACGGGUGAGUAACACGUGGAUAACCUACCUAUAAGACUGGGAUAACUUCGGGAAACCGGAGCUAAUACCGGAUAAUAUAUUGAACCGCAUGGUUCAAUAGUGAAAGACGGUUUUGCUGUCACUUAUAGAUGAAUCCGCGCCGCAUUAGCUAGUUGGUAAGGUAACGGCUUACCAAGGCAACGAUGCGUAGCCGACCUGAGAGGGUGAUCGGCCACACUGGAACUGAGACACGGUCCAGACUCCUACGGGAGGCAGCAGUAGGGAAUCUUCCGCAAUGGGCGAAAGCCUGACGGAGCAACGCCGCGUGAGUGAUGAAGGUCUUCGGAUCGUAAAACUCUGUUAUUAGGGAAGAACAAAUGUGUAAGUAACUAUGCACGUCUUGACGGUACCUAAUCAGAAAGCCACGGCUAACUACGU